Siniperca chuatsi (mandarin fish) is the source of this 410-nucleotide long non-coding RNA. RefSeq lists it as uncharacterized. The record is from RefSeq and is a predicted model, not a curated record. NCBI's taxonomy places the organism in Eukaryota, Metazoa, Chordata, Actinopteri, Centrarchiformes, Sinipercidae. The transcript is spliced from 3 exons.
UUUGACUCUUUCACUCACACAAGCACAGAGACUCUCACUCGUGCACACUUAUUAUUCAAGAUGCAGCAGAAGCCGGAGUCUAAAUUUAGCCCGCUCACUGAGACGUCACUCCUCACUCUACAUGCUGCAAGACUGCUGGAAACCUCAGAUUCACCUGAGAGACCCCAGUGCUUCCUGAACAACUGUUGACUCAUGAUAGCCUGACGAAAGGUUGUUUGCUGCUCAGUGGAUGGAAAAUUGGAACAAUAACAUGCAAACACGGAGGUAAUGGCUGUGGUGCCAGGCAGGCAGACCACAGGGAGAUGCAGGUCUCCAACAAGGACCUGACCAUAACAUCAACAGUAAUGGCUGGUUUACCAGAGUGCUUUUAAAAGCAGUAUCUAUAUUUGAUUUAUGUCAGAAAUACCACU